UGCAUCGCUCUGCUCUGUAAUGGGAUGGGAUCUGAAGCCCCAGUGAGGGAUAAUACAGGCUCUCCCAUCCAACUCCUAUUCCGACACGUCCUCGUCUUGCAGAGUGGUAACAUGUGUCACCGCAUAUCCUAGCUUGGGUACACGGUAGGCAUGGGCAAAACGAUUCUU
Anopheles gambiae (African malaria mosquito) is the source of this 168-nucleotide non-coding RNA. Lineage: Eukaryota; Metazoa; Arthropoda; Insecta; Diptera; Culicidae. The record is from Rfam.